GACAUUUGGUAGAGGCUGUGUGGCCACCUGGUCCCAGCAGACCCCAAAGAACAACCACACUCUCUGGUGCUGAAAGAAGGUCAUUAAAGGUGAAGGCUGGUGCCAGAUGUGU
Panthera pardus (leopard) is the source of this 112-nucleotide ribosomal RNA. The record is from Ensembl. Lineage: Eukaryota; Metazoa; Chordata; Mammalia; Carnivora; Felidae.